Molecule: ribosomal RNA, 391 nt
Filed under: uncultured organism
Description: bacterial SSU rRNA
Rfam family: Bacterial small subunit ribosomal RNA
Source: RNAcentral
UGCCUAACACAUGCAAGUCGAGCGAGAAAGCGGGGGCAACUCCGUGAGUACAGCGGCGACCGGGUGAGUAACACGUGACUAACCUACCCUCUUGUGGGGAAUAACCUUCCGAAAGGAGGGCUAAUACCGCAUAACAUCGCGGGGUGAAAAUCCCCGUGAUCAAAGGAGUGAUUCGCAGGAGGAGGGGGUCGCGGCUGAUUAGCUAGUUGGCGGGGUAACGGCCCACCAAGGCAGUGAUCAGUAGCCGGCCUGAGAGGGCGCACGGCCACACUGGAACUGAAACACGGUCCAGACUCCUACGGGAGGCAGCAGUGGGGAAUUUUGCGCAAUGGGGGAAACCCUGACGCAGCAACGCCGCGUGGAGGAUGAAGGUCUUUGGAUUGUAAACUCC